UCUGCUGUAAAAGUGGAGCUUAACUCCAUCGUGGCAGUGGAAACUGUUGGGCUCCCAUGAGGGAGGGGAAGAGGGAAUUCCCGGGGUAGCGGUCCUUUGCGUAGAUAUCGGGAAGAACACCAGUGGCGAAGGCGCUCUGCUGGGCCAUAACUGACGCUCAUGGACGAAAGCCAGGGGAGCGAAAGGGAUUAGAUACCCCUGUAGUCCUGGCCGUAAACGAUGAACACUAGGUGUCGGGGGAAUCGACCCCCUCGGUGUCGUAGCCAACGCGUUAAGUGUUCCGCCUGGGGAGUACGCACGCAAGUGUGAAACUCAAAGGAAUUGACGGGGGCCCGCACAAGCGGUGGAGUAUGUGGUUUAAUUCGAUGCAACGCGAAGAACCUUACCAGGGUUUGACAUCCUGCGAAUCUCCUGGAAACGGGAGAGUGCCUUCGGGAACGCAGUGACAGGUGGUGCAUGGCUGUCGUCAGCUCGUGUCGUGAGAUGUUGGGUUAAGUCCCGCAACGAGCGCAACCCACGUCUUUAGUUGCCAGCAUUCAGUUGGGCACUCUAGAGAGACCGCCGGUGAUAAACCGGAGGAAGGUGUGGAUGACGUCAAGUCAUCAUGCCCCUUACAUCCUGGGCUACACACGUACUACAAUGCUACGGACAAAGGGCAGCAAACUCGCGAGAGCUAGCAAAUCCCAUAAACCGUGGCUCAGUUCAGAUCGUAGGCUGCAACUCGCCUACGUGAAGGAGGAAUCGCUAGUAAUCGCAGGUCAGCAUACUGCGGUGAAUACGUUCCCGGGCCUUGUACACACCGCCCGUCACACCAUGGAAGGUGGCCCCGCCCGAAACCGUUCCUCCACCCCUGUGGGAGAGGACGUCGAUGGUGGGGCUGAAGACUGGGGUGAAAGCCUAACAA
Molecule: ribosomal RNA, 904 nt
Filed under: uncultured Synechococcus sp.
Lineage: Bacteria; Bacillati; Cyanobacteriota; Cyanophyceae; Synechococcales; Synechococcaceae
Description: bacterial SSU rRNA
Rfam family: Bacterial small subunit ribosomal RNA
Source: RNAcentral